GAAAUGCGAUAAGUAAUGUGAAUUGCAGAAUUCAGUGAAUCAUCGAAUCUUUGAACGCACAUUGCGCCCCCUGGUAUUCCGGGGGGCAUGCCUGUUCGAGCGUCAUUUCACCACUCAAGCCUCGCUUGGUAUUGGGCAACGCGGUCCGCCGCGUGCCUCAAAUCGACCGGCUGGGUCUUCUGUCCCCUAAGCGUUGUGGAAACUAUUCGCUAAAGGGUGUUCGGGAGGCUACGCCGUAAAACAACCCCAUUUCUAAGGUUGACCUCGGAUCAGGUAGGGAUACCCGCUGAACUUAAGA
Molecule: unclassified non-coding RNA, 298 nt
Filed under: plant metagenome
Description: partial contains 5.8S ribosomal RNA, internal transcribed spacer 2, and large subunit ribosomal RNA
Rfam family: 5.8S ribosomal RNA (bases 1-105)
Source: RNAcentral